AGAGGUGAGGGUGAUCUGGUUGCAACAUCUGUCACCCCAUUGAUCACCAGGGUUGAUUCAGCUUAUCUUGCUGGCUAGGCAGGUGUCCCCUUUCUCCCUCACAGGUCCAUGUGUGUUCCUCCCACUUGGGAGCUGUGCACUUGGUCAAAGAGGACAACCACCCCUGAUAGAGAAGGAGCUGUCUUCACUCAAGGGUAUACGAAUGGCUGCACUCCCUGCUAGAACCUCCAAACAAGCUCUCAAAAUCCAUUUGUAGGAGAACAUAGGGUAGUAAAGCUUCCAAGACUCCAGACACAUCUGAAUGAGGCACUGCAUGUGGCAGUCGGCCUUUCUCU
Molecule: unclassified non-coding RNA, 335 nt
Organism: Rhinopithecus bieti (black snub-nosed monkey)
Lineage: Eukaryota; Metazoa; Chordata; Mammalia; Primates; Cercopithecidae
Gene: 7SK
Rfam family: 7SK RNA
About the family: 7SK was discovered as an abundant small nuclear RNA in the mid-70s but a possible function has only recently been suggested.
Source: Ensembl